Molecule: long non-coding RNA, 210 nt
Filed under: Sorghum bicolor (sorghum)
Lineage: Eukaryota; Viridiplantae; Streptophyta; Magnoliopsida; Poales; Poaceae
Description: long non-coding RNA (SBIC_LNC002899)
Source: RNAcentral
UGUGCUCGUAACGAGGCGUAGAUUAGUUUUCAAACCUUUAUUGAUUAGUGUACUGUUUUAAUUUAUUUUUAUUGUUUGCUUUGUGUAUGAUUGCGUAGAUGCUUGUGUGGUGCUUUAUGAUUAUGUUCAGUCGGUGAGCUAUACGUGGUGAUCAAGAAGCAGUUCGUUGAAGGUUUGGAAGUUAAAGAAGGAUCUAUGUUUAAGGCAAGU